RNAcentral lists this ribosomal RNA (467 nucleotides) under uncultured bacterium. RNAcentral describes it as "partial 16S ribosomal RNA". It matches the Rfam family "Bacterial small subunit ribosomal RNA", at positions 28 to 507 of the family's 1533-position model. The record is from RNAcentral.
GACGAACGCUGGCGGCGUGCUUAACACAUGCAAGUCGAACGAUGACGACCGAGCUUGCUCGGUCUGAUUAGUGGCGAACGGGUGAGUAACACGUGAGCAACCUGCCCUUCACUCUGGGAUAACCUCGGGAAAUCGGGGCUAAUACCGGAUAUGAGCUCCUGUCGCAUGGCGGGUGUUGGAAAGUUUUUCGGUGAAGGAUGGGCUCGCGGCCUAUCAGUUUGUUGGUGAGGUAGUGGCUCACCAAGGCGAUGACGGGUAGCCGGCCUGAGAGGGCGACCGGCCACACUGGGACUGAGACACGGCCCAGACUCCUACGGGAGGCAGCAGUGGGGAAUAUUGCACAAUGGGCGAAAGCCUGAUGCAGCGACGUCGCGUGAGGGAUGACGGCCUUCGGGUUGUAAACCUCUUUCAGCAGGGAAGAAGCGAAAGUGACGGUACCUGCAGAAGAAGCGCCGGCUAACUACGUG